AAGAGGGUGAGUGCUGAAAAAUGUUGUUGCUCAAUUUGUGCAAAAUAAAUAAAAUUUACUAGUUAAUUAAUUGUGCAGCAUUUACUAAUGUUUACCAUUUAUUAUUAUUAUUUUUCUGAAAAUUCUUACAAUUUAUUUAACUAUUAUAUAAAUAUGCACAACUCUCCAUCAAUCACACACACACACACACUCUCUCUCUCUCUCUCUCUCUCUCUCUCUCU
RNAcentral lists this long non-coding RNA (221 nucleotides) under Prunus persica (peach). Its description in RNAcentral is "long non-coding RNA (PPER_LNC006946)". The record is from RNAcentral. Lineage: Eukaryota; Viridiplantae; Streptophyta; Magnoliopsida; Rosales; Rosaceae.